Molecule: non-coding RNA, 114 nt
Organism: Nematostella vectensis (starlet sea anemone)
Lineage: Eukaryota; Metazoa; Cnidaria; Anthozoa; Actiniaria; Edwardsiidae
Source: Rfam
GUUGGAUAUGGCGACCUGGUUCCUAAGACUCUAUGGGGAAAGCUUGUUGGCUCGUGUUGUGCGCUGUGCGGAGUGCUUGCUAUAGCACUUCCGGUUCCUGUCAUCGUAUCCAAU